GGUCCCCCCCCCCCCAAUGCAGCUAAGACCUCCCCCUGACUCGGGGGAGGGCCGGCCGAAGACGGUCAGCAUCAGCACGGGUGACACUACAGGGACAUGGAGGGAAUCUCAUGGAAUCAGCAGCGAGCCGGCAUCCCCGCCCCCAAGCUGUGGUCCGGGUCUGGUGACACUCAGGCCCCAGCCUCCAGCGAAUCGAGGCUGUGGCCCGAAGCAGGCACAGCUGGUGGGGGCCUGGAGGCGAGGGUCUCAGCCACUCUGGUGCAAACAGGAAGGAUGCGACUGGUUUUGGCUUUAAUAAUCAAAAUGGAAACAAAAACCAAGAAAGUUGUACAGUAUUUUUCCUGUAAAGGUUAUUAUUCUACAUAGAACAAAAAAAAAAAAGAGAAGGGGGGGAAAUGGGAAAAAAAGCAGGUGAGUGCGGGGAGCCUCGCCUCCCCUCCAGACCAGCCCUGGGAUUGGGGACCCGAGUGCAAUUGCUCCUGUGGAAUUGUUUUGCAUUUAUUUUAGAGGCCUCAGUUUGAGGCUUUGUCCUCACACUAGCACUGAUGGGGGCUGCGUGAUUCCAACUUUUAACUUGAAUUUUGUAGAGACAAGGAAAAAAAAAAGACUAUUCUCUUGAUACGAGUUUGUAGCUAAUUUAACAUUUGAGGGUUUUUCUGUUGGUUAUGCGUGUGGCUUUCUAGGGCUUUCUCUCUCUCUCUCUCUCUCUCUCUCUCUCUCUCUCUCUCUCUCUCUCUCUCUCUCUUGUUCCGGUUUCGUUUUAUUAUUUUAUUUGGGAUGCUAUUGUGCAGGUGCAGCCCACCCAGAUUUGGUUCCUUCUCCAAAAUACCCCUUUCCUGGAGGCAAGGAGGCCACUUAGACUUGGCACAGGACUCACCUGCAGACACUUACUUAGCCAGAGGCUGCUCCAGACUCUGGCAGGGGCAGGCUGCCUGAGGCAGGGCUUGUGGGGUAAACCUGUGCACUGCGGGUUCUGACCAGUGCCAGGCUGGAAGAAAACGGGCCAGCUCAGCAGGUGAUGGAAGUCAGCGGAAGCCCCUCCCACGGGUCUUCAAAGGGGGCGGUGUUCUCUCCAUCUGACUCUGAGUGUGUGAACAUGUGCGAGAGUGUGCGAGCGCAUGUGUGCGCGUGCGUGGGUGUGUGGGUGCGUGCGUGUGCGCACGCGCAUGUGUGCGUGUGUGCCCGAGUGUGUGUGUGAGCACGUCUCCUCUUGGCUGCCCACAACCAGAAAGCCAGGACCAUCUGAACUGGAGAGGGAGCAGGGAGGGUACAGCGGAGAGAUGAGAGUACCCAACAGGAAGCACGUUGAUUCCUAAAUGGCCCUGCCAGAGCCUCCAUGCUGCUGCUGAGAGUUCGCCCAGAUUCUGACCUACCACAGGACUCUGCCUCUGUGGAAGGAGUUUUGUAAAGGAAAACAAACAAACAAGCAAACAGAAUAAAAAACAUUUUUCAAUGUAGCAAAAUCAAAUAAAAAAAAAGGAAAAAAAAAAAAAGAGCCGGAGCGUGCGCGUGCGCAGUCUAGCCUUUUGUAAGCCUCAUAUUGCACAUUAGGACUAUAAGCCAUUGCUAGCUCAUCUUGAAUUUUAAUGUGUAAUUUUUGUUUUAUUUUCUUUCUGUGAGGAAAACGAUGCCUGAUCCACCAAUGCUCUUUUUAAUGUUUUAUAACUAUGUAUGUGUAUAUAUAUAAAUAUAAAAGUAAUAUGUAUGCACAUAUGUGUGUAUAUAUCUAUAUGUAUAUACAUAUAUAGAUAUAUAGAGAUAUAUAGAGAGGUUUUGAGACAAAAAAAAUGCAGAACAUGAAACCGAACUGAACAGCGCGUGCUCUGAUUACUUGAAUCUGGUCUCCUCGGCACCUGGUUAUUAAGAACUGAAUAUUUUUCCACUUGAAUUUAGUGCUAUUAGAAAUUUAAUAUAUGUGUUUUAUUUAUUUGAUUUUUUUUUGCAUGACUGAUGCAAGGUUUGACAUUUUCACUCAAUAAAAACUGGAAAAAAAAA
RNAcentral lists this long non-coding RNA (1995 nucleotides) under Rattus norvegicus (Norway rat). RNAcentral describes it as "long non-coding RNA NONRATT022858". The record is from RNAcentral. Lineage: Eukaryota; Metazoa; Chordata; Mammalia; Rodentia; Muridae.